UACGAAGGGGGCUAGCGUUGUUCGGAAUCACUGGGCGUAAAGCGCACGUAGGCGGAUCUUUUAAGUCAGGGGGUGAAAUCCCGAGGCUCAACCUCGGAACUGCCUUUGAUACUGGGGAUCUCGAGUUCGGGAGAGGUGAGUGGAACUGCGAGUGUAGAGGUGAAAAUUCGUAGAUAUUCGCAAGAACACCAGUGGCGAAGGCGGCUCACUGGCCCGAUACUGACACUGAGGUGCGAAAGCGUGGGGAGCAAACAGG
Molecule: ribosomal RNA, 256 nt
Filed under: uncultured bacterium
Lineage: Bacteria
Description: partial 16S ribosomal RNA
Rfam family: Bacterial small subunit ribosomal RNA
Source: RNAcentral